Molecule: non-coding RNA, 96 nt
Organism: Podarcis lilfordi (Lilford's wall lizard)
Lineage: Eukaryota; Metazoa; Chordata; Lepidosauria; Squamata; Lacertidae
Source: the annotation of a GenBank genome assembly
CUUCCAGUAGCACCUUAGAGACCAACUAAGUUUGUUAUUGGUAUGCACACGAAAGCUCAUACCAGACUUUGUUGGUCUCUAUGGUGCUACUGGAAG